CGGGACACGUGGUAUCCUGUCUGAAUAUGGGGGGACCAUCCUCCAAGGCUAAAUACUCCUGACUGACCGAUAGUGAACCAGUACCGUGAGGGAAAGGCGAAAAGAACCCCGGCGAGGGGAGUGAAAAAGAACCUGAAACCGUGUACGUACAAGCAGUGGGAGCCUCUUUAUGGGGUGACUGCGUACCUUUUGUAUAAUGGGUCAGCGACUUAUAUUCUGUAGCAAGGUUAACCGAAUAGGGGAGCCGAAGGGAAACCGAGUCUUAACUGGGCGUUAAGUUGCAGGGUAUAGACCCGAAACCCGGUGAUCUAGCCAUGGGCAGGUUGAAGGUUGGGUAACACUAACUGGAGGACCGAACCGACUAAUGUUGAAAAAUUAGCGGAUGACUUGUGGCUGGGGGUGAAAGGCCAAUCAAACCGGGAGAUAGCUGGUUCUCCCCGAAAGCUAUUUAGGUAGCGCCUCGUGAAUUCAUCUCCGGGGGUAGAGCACUGUUUCGGCAAGGGGGUCAUCCCGACUUACCAACCCGAUGCAAACUGCGAAUACCGGAGAAUGUUAUCACGGGAGACACACGGCGGGUGCUAACGUCCGUCGUGAAGAGGGAAACAACCCAGACCGCCAGCUAAGGUCCCAAAGUCAUGGUUAAGUGGGAAACGAUGUGGGAAGGCCCAGACAGCCAGGAUGUUGGCUUAGAAGCAGCCAUCAUUUAAAGAAAGCGUAAUAGCUCACUGGUCGAGUCGGCCUGCGCGGAAGAUGUAACGGGGCUAAACCAUGCACCGAAGCUGCGGCAGCGACGCUUAUGCGUUGUUGGGUAGGGGAGCGUUCUGUAAGCCUGCGAAGGUGUACUGUGAGGUAUGCUGGAGGUAUCAGAAGUGCGAAUGCUGACAUAAGUAACGAUAAAGCGGGUGAAAAGCCCGCUCGCCGGAAGACCAAGGGUUCCUGUCCAACGUUAAUCGGGGCAGGGUGA
This 964-nucleotide ribosomal RNA is filed under the name Escherichia coli. RNAcentral's name for it is "partial 23S ribosomal RNA". It matches the Rfam family "Bacterial large subunit ribosomal RNA", at positions 418 to 1382 of the family's 2925-position model. The record is from RNAcentral. Lineage: Bacteria; Pseudomonadati; Pseudomonadota; Gammaproteobacteria; Enterobacterales; Enterobacteriaceae.